AACCGGAGCCCCCCCAGCUGCAGGUGAACGCGGGUCCACUCACGGCCCGCGCGGUGGCGGAGAAGGAUGCCCCGCACUGAAGCGCAUCGAGAAAGGGCAGGACCUGGGGGAUGAAGGGAGGAUCCUGCAAGCUUCCAGAGAGGAAACAGGAAAGGCGGCAUCUCAAGGGCUGGGACGAGAGGGCACCCUCCCUGCGGACACGGGGAAGCCUGAGACGCAGCCGCGGUGUCCCGGCCACCGCUGCCUCGAACCCAAACCGCGCAAGGGACCCCAGCGCCCGGGCGCCGCCAGCCAAGUGCGCGCGGGCGCCCAGGUUCCCAAGUCCUUCUCCCUGGAGGCUUCUGAGGCAUCGUUCCGCAGAACGGGAAUUCCAGGGAGAAAGCGGAAGAUGUGAAACCGGGACUAGGGGACCCGCCGCAGGGACGAGUUCCAGGGGGCGUGAGGAGGGGGCAGACGCGGGGCCCCGCGACCACAGACAUCAGCAAGCGGUUGCCGGCUCAGGAUUCAGCGCAGGGAAGAGCCGGCAGAGAAACAGGAAGCAGUGUUCAAGAUUGCUUCAUGGUUCAGGACAGCUGCUCAAGCUCCUACCAUCCUGUGCACAUUCCGGCUGGAAGAAGAAGGAAGGACAAAGGUUAAUCCUAGUGUUAGAACUGGCAAUUAGUGAGGCUCCAAUGGGAUGCCUGGAGGCCAGCAAGGAAGAGGCCAUGGCCAGCCGUCGGGGAAGGUCCAGGCCUGUCCUGGAAGCACUCCAGGAGGAGCCAGAUCAUACCAGAUGGGCCCCAGAUGGCAGCGCUUGACAGGAACCCCUGAGCAGGUUAGGAAGAAAAGAUGCGGAAACCUUGCUUCCAAGAAAUCCUUGCACUAGUUAACAGCUCUGUGAAAGGUAGAAGGUGAACUCCCCAGGCACUGAGCUCUCUGGCUUGCACACUCCCUCUCCCUCUCUAUACCCUCUGGCCCUCUCUGUUUCUUGCUUUCUUGCUCUUACAUCUCCAGGUGGUACUUUCACUUUAAUAAACGUUCCCACUUGUGCCGCUCAUCCACUGUGCUGUGUGUCUGUCCUUGAAUUCUUUGAUGUGAUAAGAUCAAGGACCUUCAGUGACAUCUUUGGGCCAGGCUGGGUCAAGGCCUCAGGGCCUGGGGUCUCCACAUUCCACCCAGCAGCAUAUUCAUAAGCAGCUAGAUGAGGUUUCAUACUGAGCAUUGCCAUCAUGAGCCUAUCUCAGUACUGGCAGCAAAGUGGCCUGGGGAAAAAAACAAAAAAACAAAAAAAAACAAAGUGGCCUGGGAAGUAUCUUUUAGUGGAGCAUAUUACUACCUGGAAUAAAACUUGACAGAAGCAGGGGUGCCUGGGUGGCUCAGUGGUUGAGCAUCUGCCUUUGGCCCAGGGCAUGAUCCUCGAGUCCCAGGAUGGAGUCCCAGGAUGGAGUCCCAGGAUCGAGUCCUAGGAUCGAGUCCCAUGUUGGGCUCCCUGCAUGGCCCCUGGUUCUCCCUCUGCCUAUGUCUCUGCCUCUCUCUCUGUAGGUCUCAUGAAUGAAUGAAUGAAUGAGUAAAUAAAAUCUUAAAAAAAAAAAAAACUUGACAGGAGUAGAAAUUAUCUAUAAAUUAGUUCAACAGCAGUCCUUUCUAUGUUGUAUUAAGAUUGAAAGCACUUAUUAAAAUAAAUAGGUGUCCCAGAAGUCCCAAACUGGAGGCCAGGAAGUCAUGUCAUCUGCAGAGAUGAUUUCACAAUUUUUAGUUUUCAACACUUAAAAUGCAGUAAGUUUCAUACAAAACUCCAGAUCUCUGGGGCACCUGGGCAGCUCUGCUGGUUAAACAUCUUGCUCUGCCUCAGGUUGUGAUCUCUGGGUCCUGGGAUCCAGCCCCCACCGCCCCUUCCUCAUUGCAUUUGCUCUGUGCUCAUUGCAUCUCACUCAGCUGAGUGGAAGGAGAGAGGACUCUGUCCCUCUCCCUCUGCCCUUCCCCAGCAUGUGAGCACGCUUUCUUUGACAUAAAUAAAUGUUUAAAAAACUAAAAACAAAAAAUCCUCCCAGAUUUCUGCCUUCUCUUGAACUGAAAACUUGGCAAUAUGCUGGGCCCAGAUUCUCAAUGGCAAUCCUUAGUGAGAGAUGAGAGGUAGCUGCCUCGGGAGGACGUAUGUCCUCUGUCACUGUCCCAUCUUUCCCUACCGGUCCCUGGUCUGAGCUGCAUCCUGGUCUGAGCCCCUCAUUUAAGUUCCCUUCUUGCCUCUAAUAGCCAUUUAUGUUUGCAUGCCAUUCCCUUUACAAAUAUAUAAUAAUGGUGGUUUUCAAUGUAACUAGAGUGGGUCAAAACUGAGAGCAUAGAGAGCCUGCAGAAGAGCAUGGAGAGCCUGCAGAAGAGUCUCUUGUUGAGAUACUUGAGCAUCUCCUAUGUUUCCUUAUUUAUAAAGUAUGUUGGACUACGUGAAAGACAAAGUCACUGCCCACUUUAAAUAUAGGCCCUGAUUGAGAACUUUGAGAGGUAAAGGUUCUUUUUUUUUUUUUUUUAAGAUUUUAUUUAUUUAUUUAUUUAUGAGUGACAGAGAGGGGGCAGAAACACAGGCAGAGGGAGAAGCGAGCUCCAUGCAGGAGGCACAACGUGGGUGGAACUCGAUCCUGACUCCAGGAUCACUCCCUGGGGGGAAGGCAGGUGCUAAACCGCUGAGCCACCCAGGGAUCCCCUGAGGUAGGGGUUCUAUGCAAGGCAAAGUCUCCCCUAGAAAAUAACCAAGUCCUCAGAACUGGAGGUUCUGCGUGAACACGGGAGGCUGAGUGGAAGGAGAGAGGGCAGCGUAGUCAGUUCACUCAGAUUAUGCUCUAAGGAUGGGGUAGGGUUGAUGAGUUUGCAGAGGGCUGCGGUGGGCACAGCCAAAGCCUCAAGGCCCUAAGUGCUCACCAGAGCCCCAAGCUCAAGGGUUUGGACAAUGUCGUGGAGGCAGAAAAGGAAGCUUUGAAGAUUUGUGAGUGAGAAGGGAGAGAAUGAAAGGAGCAUUUCAGAGUUUUCUAAGGAUGAUGCUCACCUUUGGAGGUGUUCUCUAAGGACGUUAGAGAGAAAGACUUGCCAUUGGGAAAUUCGUGGAAAUGCUUGUCACCCGGCUACUAACUCAUCUAAAAAAACAACUGCAAGCUGACAAUGUUGAAAUGAUUUCGGCCAAGGUGUCAUCAUGGAAAUGAAAGAAAACAGAGGCACGUUGAAAAAUAAAGCAAGGCAAGGCUGUCUGCACUCAGUGAAAUCCCGAGGAUGAGGACGAUUCUGAGGAACCAGCAAAGGAGACCAGGAAGUGGCAAG
This 3285-nucleotide long non-coding RNA is filed under the name Canis lupus familiaris (dog). RNAcentral's name for it is "lncRNA (ENSCAFG00040010680.1)". The record is from RNAcentral. Lineage: Eukaryota; Metazoa; Chordata; Mammalia; Carnivora; Canidae.